This is a long non-coding RNA of Rhagoletis zephyria (snowberry fruit fly), 282 nucleotides long. RefSeq lists it as uncharacterized. Lineage: Eukaryota; Metazoa; Arthropoda; Insecta; Diptera; Tephritidae. The record is from RefSeq and is a predicted model, not a curated record.
UUGAUUUGUUAUGAGUGAUAUGAAUGUCAUGAUUUUUCUCACUUCGGCAUUUUAUAGCUUCCAUAGCUGAUAGCUUACUUUAGCAAUAAGUCGUUAUUACUGUCAGUUCAGAUUCUGGGGCGACCGCCUUUACCAAGAAGCUAGAACCUAAAAGAGUUUACCACAGAUAUGUACUUAACAAGGAUUAGAAGAUUUAGUUUGCCAGCUUCGAAUUCGUUCUACAAAAAUAAGCUACAUAAUAAAAAUACAAGUUCAGUUAAUUUUUUGAGUAUUCGAAAUAUU